This 228-nucleotide ribosomal RNA is filed under the name uncultured bacterium. Its description in RNAcentral is "partial 16S ribosomal RNA". It matches the Rfam family "Bacterial small subunit ribosomal RNA", at positions 793 to 1018 of the family's 1533-position model. The record is from RNAcentral.
GUCCACGCCGUAAACCGAUGUCAACUAGCUGUCUGUGGACUUGAUCCGUGGGUAGCGGAGCUAACGCAUUAAGUUGACCGCCUGGGGAGUACGGCCGCAAGGUUAAAACCUCAAAUGAAUUGACGGGGGCCCGCACAAGCGGUGGAGCAUGUGGUUUAAUUCGAUGCAACGCGAAGAACCUUACCAUCCCUUGACAUCCACAGAAUUCGCUAGAGAUAGCUUAGUGCC